This 64-nucleotide transfer RNA is filed under the name Diplostomum ardeae. Its description in RNAcentral is "tRNA-Pro". The record is from RNAcentral. Lineage: Eukaryota; Metazoa; Platyhelminthes; Trematoda; Diplostomida; Diplostomidae.
CAGUUGAUAGUUUAAUGAAAAUUCGGGUUUUGGGAAUCCGUGAUCUCUCUGAUGAGUUAGCUGA